UCCCCAGUGGCGCAAUUGGUUAGCGCGCGGUACUUAUGAUGCCGAGGUUGUGAGUUCGAGCCUCACCUGGGGGA
Asterias rubens (European starfish) is the source of this 74-nucleotide non-coding RNA. Lineage: Eukaryota; Metazoa; Echinodermata; Asteroidea; Forcipulatida; Asteriidae. The record is from the annotation of a RefSeq genome assembly.